Callithrix jacchus (white-tufted-ear marmoset) is the source of this 164-nucleotide small nuclear RNA. Its record names the gene U1. It matches the Rfam family "U1 spliceosomal RNA". From Rfam's summary of the family: U1 is a small nuclear RNA (snRNA) component of the spliceosome (involved in pre-mRNA splicing). Its 5' end forms complementary base pairs with the 5' splice junction, thus defining the 5' donor site of an intron. There are significant differences in sequence and secondary structure between metazoan and yeast U1 snRNAs, the latter being much longer (568 nucleotides as compared to 164 nucleotides in human). NCBI's taxonomy places the organism in Eukaryota, Metazoa, Chordata, Mammalia, Primates, Cebidae. The record is from Ensembl.
AUACUUACCUGGCAGGGGAGAUACCAUGAUCACGAAGGUGGUUUUCCCAGGGAAAGGCUUAUCCAUUGCACUCCGGAUGUGCUGAUCCCUGCCAUUUACCCAAAUGUGGGAAACUCAACUGCAUAAUUUGUGGUAGUGGGGGACUGUGUUUACGCUUUCACCUU